GACGAACGCUGGCGGCGUGCUUAACACAUGCAAGUCGAACGGAAAGGCCCUGCUUUUGUGGGGUGCUCGAGUGGCGAACGGGUGAGUAACACGUGAGUAACCUGCCCUUGACUUUGGGAUAACUUCAGGAAACUGGGGCUAAUACCGGAUAGGAGCUCCUGCUGCAUGGUGGGGGUUGGAAAGUUUCGGCGGUUGGGGAUGGACUCGCGGCUUAUCAGCUUGUUGGUGGGGUAGUGGCUUACCAAGGGUUUGACGGGUAGCCGGCCUGGGAGGGUGACCGGCCACAUGGGGACUGAGAGACGGCCCAGACUCCUACGGGAGGCAGCAGUGGGGAAUAUUGCACAAUGGGCGGAAGCCUGAUGCAGCAACGCCGCGUGCGGGAUGACGGCCUUCGGGUUGUAAACCGCUUUCGCCUGUGACGAAGCGUGAGUGACGGUAAUGGGUAAAGAAGCACCGGCUAACUACGUG
RNAcentral lists this ribosomal RNA (468 nucleotides) under uncultured bacterium. RNAcentral describes it as "partial 16S ribosomal RNA". It matches the Rfam family "Bacterial small subunit ribosomal RNA", at positions 28 to 507 of the family's 1533-position model. The record is from RNAcentral.